RNAcentral lists this ribosomal RNA (632 nucleotides) under Stagonosporopsis cucurbitacearum. Its description in RNAcentral is "LSU rRNA". It matches the Rfam family "Eukaryotic large subunit ribosomal RNA", at positions 40 to 687 of the family's 3401-position model. Lineage: Eukaryota; Fungi; Ascomycota; Dothideomycetes; Pleosporales; Didymellaceae. The record is from RNAcentral.
AUAUCAAUAAGCGGAGGAAAAGAAACCAACAGGGAUUGCCCUAGUAACGGCGAGUGAAGCGGCAACAGCUCAAAUUUGAAAUCUGGCGUCUUCGGCGUCCGAGUUGUAAUUUGCAGAGGGCGCUUUGGCAUUGGCAGCGGUCCAAGUUCCUUGGAACAGGACGUCACAGAGGGUGAGAAUCCCGUACGUGGUCGCUAGCCUUUACCGUGUAAAGCCCCUUCGACGAGUCGAGUUGUUUGGGAAUGCAGCUCUAAAUGGGAGGUAAAUUUCUUCUAAAGCUAAAUACUGGCCAGAGACCGAUAGCGCACAAGUAGAGUGAUCGAAAGAUGAAAAGCACUUUGGAAAGAGAGUUAAAAAGCACGUGAAAUUGUUGAAAGGGAAGCGCUUGCAGCCAGACUUGCCUGUAGUUGCUCAUCCGGGUUUUUACCCGGUGCACUCUUCUAUAGGCAGGCCAGCAUCAGUUUGGGCGGUUGGAUAAAGGUCUCUGUCACGUACCUCCUCUCGGGGAGAACUUAUAGGGGAGACGACAUACAACCAGCCUGGACUGAGGUCCGCGCAUCUGCUAGGAUGCUGGCGUAAUGGCUGUAAGCGGCCCGUCUUGAAACACGGACCAAGGAGUCUAACAUCUAUGC